RNAcentral lists this ribosomal RNA (468 nucleotides) under uncultured bacterium. Its description in RNAcentral is "partial 16S ribosomal RNA". It matches the Rfam family "Bacterial small subunit ribosomal RNA", at positions 28 to 507 of the family's 1533-position model. The record is from RNAcentral.
GACGAACGCUGGCGGCGUGCUUAACACAUGCAAGUCGAACGGAAAGGCCCUGCUUUUGUGGGGUGCUCGAGUGGCGAACGGGUGAGUAACACGUGAGUAACCUGCCCUUGACUUUGGGAUAACUUCAGGAAACUGGGGCUAAUACCGGAUAGGAGCUCCUGCUGCAUGGUGGGGGUUGGAAAGUUUCGGCGGUUGGGGAUGGACUCGCGGCUUAUCAGCUUGUUGGUGGGGUAGUGGCUUACCAAGGCUUUGACGGGUAGCCGGCCUGAGAGGGUGACCGGCCACAUUGGGACUGGGAUGCGGCCCAGACUGCUACGGGAGGCAGCAGUGGGGAAUAUUGGACGAUGGGCGGAAGCCUGAAGCAGCAACGCCGCGUGCGGGAGGACGGCCGUCGGGUUGUAAACCGCGUUCGCCUGUGACGAAGCGUGAGUGACGGUAAUGGGUAAAGAAGCAACGGCUAACUACGUG